GACGAACGCUGGCGGCGUGCUUAACACAUGCAAGUCGAACGGUAAGGCCCUUCGGGGUACACGAGUGGCGAACGGGUGAGUAACACGUGGGUGAUCCGCCCUGCACUUCGGGAUAAGCCUGGGAAACUGGGUCUAAUACCGGAUAGGACCACUGCCUGCAUGGGUGGUGGUGGAAAGCUUUUGCGGUGUGGGAUGGGCCCGCGGCCUAUCAGCUGGUUGGUGGGGUGAUGGCCUACCAAGGCGACGACGGGUAGCCGGCCUGAGAGGGUGACCGGCCACACUGGGACUGAGAUACGGCCCAGACUCCUACGGGAGGCAGCAGUGGGGAAUAUUGCACAAUGGGCGCAAGCCUGAUGCAGCGACGCCGCGUGAGGGAUGACGGCCUUCGGGUUGUAAACCUCUUUCAGCACCGACGAAGCGCAAGUGGCGGUAGGUGCAGAAGAAGGACCGGCCAACUACGUGCCAGCAGCCGCCGUAA
RNAcentral lists this ribosomal RNA (478 nucleotides) under uncultured bacterium. RNAcentral describes it as "partial 16S ribosomal RNA". It matches the Rfam family "Bacterial small subunit ribosomal RNA", at positions 28 to 523 of the family's 1533-position model. The record is from RNAcentral.